Zingiber officinale is the source of this 690-nucleotide long non-coding RNA. RefSeq lists it as uncharacterized. Lineage: Eukaryota; Viridiplantae; Streptophyta; Magnoliopsida; Zingiberales; Zingiberaceae. The record is from RefSeq and is a predicted model, not a curated record. The transcript has 4 exons.
CUAAAUCCCCGAUUUCUUCUCCUCUUUCCCGAUUCUGCCGAACCCACCUCCCUCUCCCGAUCUCCUCCUCCUCACAUUAUGCCCGAGACCCCCUUCCCUCUCCGACGAUUCCUCCUCGCCCGAUCGCCAGCCACCGCGAGUUCACCGCCGGCAGCGACCUAUCCUCUGCGUGCCUCACCAACACCAAGCUCUCUUGGCUGUCGAUCCUCUCCUCCCUCUCCCUCGUGAUUCCUCCCCUAACUCGCGAAGCCGACCUUGUGCUGCAGCGAUUCGCCGAUCGUCGGGCAUCCAUGAGCAGCCGGUGCUGGCCACCGAUUCCUGAGCCCUAGCUUCGGGUCUAUAACCUUCUUCUUGACCCACGACGCCACCCUAGCAUGACUCGAUCUUGGACCAAAGCAAGAAUCGGAGCCCUAGCUCCCAUUCCUCGUCAUAGUAGCUGUGGAUCGCACGACACCACCUGUAGGGAUUGAUUGAGUCUAGGAGGCGACGUCGGAUCAACCAGUUGAUGGUUCUUCCCUAAGCAGAUCAUGAUCUUCUCCAUUCCUUGCAGUUGAUUGAAGCCUCGGGUGAAGAGCUACCAGGCAGUGUCUUGCUGGGGUACGAGCUCCUGAUUUACUGCCAUCUCUCAAGGACUUGGAUUCAGGAUGAGCGUCUUGACACGGGAUUACUUGGCACGAUCUACAUUUUCAG